Molecule: unclassified non-coding RNA, 400 nt
Filed under: soil metagenome
Description: partial contains 5.8S ribosomal RNA, internal transcribed spacer 2, and large subunit ribosomal RNA
Rfam family: 5.8S ribosomal RNA (bases 1-122)
Source: RNAcentral
GAUGAAGAACGUAGCGAAAUGCGAUACUUGGUGUGAAUUGCAGAAUCCCGUGAACCAUCGAGUCUUUGAACGCAAGUUGCGCCUCAAGCCAUUAGGUUGAGGGCACGUCUGCCUGGGCGUCACAUAUCGUUGCCUGAUGCCAGUUUCCUCGUGAUGGGUGACUGUGCAGGGCGAAUGAUGGCUUCCCGUGAGCAUUGUUGCCUCAUGGUUGGUUGAAAAUUGAGUCCUUGGUAGGGAGCGCCGUGAUAGAUGGUGGUUGAGUGACGAACGAGACCCAAUCAUGUGAGACCCCUACCGAAUUUGGCCUUCAUAACCCACAUGCGUCUUUGGAACGCUCAUGACGAGACCUCAGGUCAGGUGGGGCUACCCGCUGAGUUUAAGCAUAUCAAUAAGCGGAGGA